This 440-nucleotide ribosomal RNA is filed under the name uncultured bacterium. RNAcentral describes it as "partial 16S ribosomal RNA". It matches the Rfam family "Bacterial small subunit ribosomal RNA", at positions 338 to 795 of the family's 1533-position model. The record is from RNAcentral.
CCUACGGGGGGCAGCAGUGGGGGAUAUUGCACAAUGGGGGGAACCCUGAUGCAGCGACGCCGCGUGGGUGAAGAAGCGCCUCGGCGCGUAAAGCCCUGUCAGCAGGGAAGAAAAUGACGGUACCUUAAGAAGAAGCCCCGGCUAACUACGUGCCAGCAGCCGCGGUAAUACGUAGGGGGCAAGCGUUAUCCGGAUUUACUGGGUGUAAAGGGGGCGCAGACGGCGAUGCAAGCCAGGAGUGAAAGCCCGGGGCCCAACCCCGGGACUGCUCUUGGAACUGCGUGGCUGGAGUACAGGAGGGGCAGGCGGAAUUCCUGGUGUAGCGGUGAAAUGCGUAGAUAUCAGGAGGAACACCGGUGGCGAAGGCGGCCUGCUGGACUGCAACUGACGUUGAGGCCCGAAAGCGUGGGGAGCAAACAGGAUUAGAUACCCUUGUAGUC